RNAcentral lists this long non-coding RNA (290 nucleotides) under Elaeis guineensis (African oil palm). Its description in RNAcentral is "long non-coding RNA (EGUI_LNC058737)". Lineage: Eukaryota; Viridiplantae; Streptophyta; Magnoliopsida; Arecales; Arecaceae. The record is from RNAcentral.
AUGGUAAUUGCACUUAGGAGUUCACACUUUCAUUCUACUAGGUUACCACUAUAUACUGUUAGGUGUCACUGGUGGAUUAUGAGACUCAUCGGGUGUCAUCUUGAUGAUCGAUGACCCUUGAAGGAUAGAGUUGAAAUUUUUUAACCCAUCAAAAGGAGUUUUGAUGAUAUUGUGAUAAAGAUCAUAAUAUAUCUCACUACUUGACAGAAUGGAACCUAUGGGGUCACACGCAAAAGAGGUUCUUGUUCAAUCAGAUGGCUGAUCGAUGAUUGUGAAUCAUUGAAGGGUAA